Molecule: long non-coding RNA, 283 nt
Organism: Oncorhynchus masou masou (cherry salmon)
Lineage: Eukaryota; Metazoa; Chordata; Actinopteri; Salmoniformes; Salmonidae
Exons: 3
Source: RefSeq, a predicted model, not a curated record
UCACAGUGAAGAAAGCCAAGCUGGAUGGAUCCCAAGAGAAGUUCAACACGUACUUGACCCUGAAGGUGCAGAAUGUGAAGAGCACCACCAUCGCUGUCAGGGGCAGCAUGCCUAGUUGGGAGCAGGACUUCAUGUUUGAGAUCAACAGGCUGGACCUGGGGCUGACGGUGGAGGUGUGGAAUAAAGGGUUAAUAUGGGACAUCAUGGUGGGAACAGUGUGGAUCCCCCUGCACAGCAUCCGCCAAUCAAACGUGGUACACUACACCCCCCCAAUUCUCAUACU